AUUGAACGCUGGCGGCAGGCCUAACACAUGCAAGUCGAGCGGAUGAAGGGAGCUUGCUCCUGGAUUCAGCGGCGGACGGGUGAGUAAUGCCUAGGAAUCUGCCUGGUAGUGGGGGAUAACGUCCGGAAACGGGCGCUAAUACCGCAUACGUCCUGAGGGAGAAAGUGGGGGAUCUUCGGACCUCACGCUAUCAGAUGAGCCUAGGUCGGAUUAGCUAGUUGGUGGGGUAAAGGCCUACCAAGGCGACGAUCCGUAACUGGUCUGAGAGGAUGAUCAGUCACACUGGAACUGAGACACGGUCCAGACUCCUGCGGGAGGCAGCAGUGGGGAAUGUUGGACAGUAGGCGGAAGCCUGAUCCAACCAUGCCACGUGUGUGGAGAAAGUCUUCGGAUUGUAAAGCACUUUAAGUUGGGAGGAAGGGCAGUAAGUUAAUACCUUGCUGUUUUGACGUUACCAACAGAAUAAGCACCGGCUAACUUCGUG
Molecule: ribosomal RNA, 484 nt
Filed under: uncultured bacterium
Lineage: Bacteria
Description: partial 16S ribosomal RNA
Rfam family: Bacterial small subunit ribosomal RNA
Source: RNAcentral